GCUGGGUGUGGUUGUGUACGCCUGUAGUCCCAGCUACUUGGGAGGCUAAGGCAGGAGGAUUGCUUGAGCCCAGGAGUUUGAGGCCGCAGUGAGCUGUGAUUGCACUGCCGCAUCCAGCCUGGGCAACAGAGAGAGACCCUGUCUCAA
Unclassified non-coding RNA from Pongo abelii (Sumatran orangutan), 147 nucleotides. It matches the Rfam family "Metazoan signal recognition particle RNA". Rfam says of the family: The signal recognition particle (SRP) is a universally conserved ribonucleoprotein. It is involved in the co-translational targeting of proteins to membranes. The record is from Ensembl. Lineage: Eukaryota; Metazoa; Chordata; Mammalia; Primates; Hominidae.